Molecule: ribosomal RNA, 447 nt
Filed under: uncultured bacterium
Lineage: Bacteria
Description: bacterial SSU rRNA
Rfam family: Bacterial small subunit ribosomal RNA
Source: RNAcentral
GUCCAGACUCCUACGGGAGGCAGCAGUGGGGAAUAUUGCACAAUGGGGGAAACCCUGAUGCAGCGACGCCGCGUGAGUGAAGAAGUAUCUCGGUAUGUAAAGCUCUAUCAGCAGGGAAGAAAAUGACGGUACCUGACUAAGAAGCCCCGGCUAACUACGUGCCAGCAGCCGCGGUAAUACGUAGGGGGCAAGCGUUAUCCGGAUUUACUGGGUGUAAAGGGGGCGCAGACGGCGAUGCAAGCCAGGAGUGAAAGCCCGGGGCCCAACCCCGGGACUGCUCUUGGAACUGCGUGGCUGGAGUGCAGGAGGGGCAGGCGGAAUUCCUGGUGUAGCGGUGAAAUGCGUAGAUAUCAGGAGGAACACCGGUGGCGAAGGCGGCCUGCUGGACUGCAACUGACGUUGAGGCCCGAAAGCGUGGGGAGCGAACAGGAUUAGAUACCCGAGUAC